UGCAAGAUGGCUGAGUUGUAAGCGGAAGACUGUAGAUCUUUUCACGGACUAAAUGUUCUCUUGUAA
This 66-nucleotide transfer RNA is filed under the name Chrysomallon squamiferum (scaly-foot gastropod). RNAcentral's name for it is "tRNA-Tyr". It matches the Rfam family "tRNA". From Rfam's summary of the family: Transfer RNA (tRNA) molecules are approximately 80 nucleotides in length. The record is from RNAcentral. Lineage: Eukaryota; Metazoa; Mollusca; Gastropoda; Neomphalida; Peltospiridae.